RNAcentral lists this long non-coding RNA (1108 nucleotides) under Coturnix japonica (Japanese quail). Its description in RNAcentral is "lncRNA (ENSCJPG00005006513.1)". The record is from RNAcentral. Lineage: Eukaryota; Metazoa; Chordata; Aves; Galliformes; Phasianidae.
AACCCUAUGGUAUCCUAUGGGCACCCUAUGGUACCCUAUGGCACCCUAUAGAACCCUAUGGCACCCUAUGGUACCCUAUGGUAUCCUAUGGGCACCCUAUAGUAUCCUAUGNAACCCUAUGGUAUCCUAUGGGCACCCUAUGGUAUCCUAUGCAACCCUAUGGUAUCCUAUGGGCACCCUAUGGAGCCCUAUGGCACCCUAUGGGCACCCUAUGGAACCCUAUGGUACCCUAUGGAAGCCUAUGGCACCCAAUGGUAUCCUAUGGCACCCUAUGGCACCCUAUGGAACCCUAUGAUAUCCUAUGGUAUCGUAUGGUCACCCUAUGGUAUCCUAUGGUACCCUAUGGCACCCUAUGGAACCCUAUGGCAUCCUAUGGGCACCCUAUGGCACCCUAUGGUAUCCUAUGGGCACCCUAUGGGCACCCUAUGGUAUCCUAUGGCACCCUAUGGAACCCUAUGGGACCCUAUGAUAUCCUAUGGUAUCGUAUGGGCACCCUAUGGGACCCUAUGGUAUCCUAUGGGCACCCUAUGGUACCCUAUGGCACCCUAUGGCAUCCUAUUGCCACCCUAUAGGCACCCAAUGGAAGCCUAUGGAGCCCUAUCGUAUCCUAUGGGCACCCUAUGGGCACCCUUAUGGCACCCUUAUGGCACCCUUAUGGUACCCUUAUGGCACCCUUAUGGCACCCUUAUGGCCCCUUAUGGCACCCUAUGGCACCUAUAGCCCCCUAUAGCACCCUAUAGCCCCCUAUGGAACCCUAUAGCACCCUAUGGGACCCUAGAGCACCCUAUAGCCCCCCAUAGCACCCUAUGGGACCCUAUAGCACCCUAUAGCACCCUAUAGCCCCCUAUAGCCCCCCAUAGCACCCUAUAGCCCCCUAUAGCCCCCCAUAGCACCCUAUAGCCCCCUAUAGCACCCUAUGGCACCCUAAAGCCCCCUAUGGCACCCUAUGGCACCCUAUGGAACCCUAUAGGCACCCUAUAGCACCCUAUUAGGCCCCCCCAUCAGCACCCACUUUUAUUUAGCCACCUAUAGCCGCCCAUUAGCACCCAUAGCAACCCUAAGCCCCGAUUAGCACACCCAUAGCACCCUAUAGCCCCCUAUCAGCCCC